UACGAAGGGGGCUAGCGUUGCUCGGAAUCACUGGGCGUAAAGCGCACGUAGGCGGAUCCUUAAGUCGGGGGUGAAAUCCUGGAGCUCAACUCCAGAACUGCCUUCGAUACUGAGGAUCUCGAGUCCGGGAGAGGUGAGUGGAACUGCGAGUGUAGAGGUGAAAUUCGUAGAUAUUCGCAAGAACACCAGUGGCGAAGGCGGCUCACUGGCCCGGUACUGACGCUGAGGUGCGAAAGCGUGGGGAGCGAUCCGG
This 253-nucleotide ribosomal RNA is filed under the name uncultured bacterium. RNAcentral's name for it is "partial 16S ribosomal RNA". It matches the Rfam family "Bacterial small subunit ribosomal RNA", at positions 524 to 776 of the family's 1533-position model. The record is from RNAcentral.